Molecule: long non-coding RNA, 893 nt
Filed under: Nicotiana benthamiana
Lineage: Eukaryota; Viridiplantae; Streptophyta; Magnoliopsida; Solanales; Solanaceae
Description: long non-coding RNA (NBEN_LNC010480)
Source: RNAcentral
AGAUAUUAAAAUAGGUAAGACGAAGUAUUGUGUUCAAGUUCAGCAUUUUGAUAUCUUUUUAAUCGAUUUGAUAUUAUAGUUUUUAGCGAAAAAAUCUCAAUCUUGUGUGGUUCUUUCAAAGGCUAUCUUUCCUUAACACGAAUGUUUUCUCUAAUCGUAUAAUGGCCGAAUUUUUGUUAUAUUUCGAUAUUUUGUAUACAGAUUGGAUCAUUUUCUAUCUAAAGUUUUCGACUACAAUUAUUGCUAAUUGAUUAUGUCAAACUUUAUUCUUUCUAAUGAGCACCUUAAAUUUCGUUUGUCAUACCUUUUGUAACUCAGAGUCUUUGUAAUCCCUUAGCUAUAAAUACUUCUGAUGUUAAGACCGAAAGGAGGGAGGAGCUUUUCACCAUUGUUAUGCUCCACUAAUAUAACAUUUAAUUGAGAUACAUCAUAUUCAAUGUCUUGUUGUUAUUGCUUUGCCCUUUGUGAGCAAAGGCGAAGCUCGAUUUCUUUUAUUACGCUCGAUACAACUACUGCUCAGAAUUCUUAGAAGUUUUUGCGAUCUUAGAAUGUUGAGAUUCGGGUAUUAAUUUCUUGUUGCUAUGCGCAAUCCCUGAGUAUUCUAGAGCUUGUUUGGCCUAUUUAUUGUUGUCAAGGCUCUGCUCGUGACUCGUUAUUCCAAUUUGUGGUUUUCUUAUUUGGAACUUUGCGAACCAGUUAGUUUCUUGUCGAUGUAAAUUUUAAUUCCUUCUAUGUGGUAGUUCUGUGUAAGGUUGUUAUUCACUUAAUUUAUGUUUGAGUUGUUCAAAUGCGGAAGACAUUUUCUAGGAAGCGCGCAGGUCAGUUCUUCUUCUUCUUCCUUUCUGCUCGCCUUUUUUUUCUUGAGUCCGUGAUUCUUUCCUACACUAGAAAAC